UUUUAUGAGAGUUUGAUCCUGGCUCAGGACGAACGCUGGCGGCGUGCCUAAUACAUGCAAGUCGAACGCUUCUUUUUCCAACGGAGCUUGCUCCACCGGAAAAAGAAGAGUGGCGAACGGGUGAGUAACACGUGGGUAACCUGCCCAUCAGAAGGGGAUAACACUUGGAAACAGGUGCUAAUACCGUAUAACAAUCAAAACCGCAUGGUUUUGAUUUGAAAGGCGCUUUCGGGUGUCGCUGAUGGAUGGACCCGCGGUGCAUUAGCUAGUUGGUGAGGUAACGGCUCACCAAGGCCACGAUGCAUAGCCGACCUGAGAGGGUGAUCGGCCACAUUGGGACUGAGACACGGCCC
RNAcentral lists this ribosomal RNA (353 nucleotides) under Enterococcus faecium. RNAcentral's name for it is "bacterial SSU rRNA". It matches the Rfam family "Bacterial small subunit ribosomal RNA", at positions 1 to 332 of the family's 1533-position model. The record is from RNAcentral. Lineage: Bacteria; Bacillati; Bacillota; Bacilli; Lactobacillales; Enterococcaceae.